UUGAACGCUGGCGGCAUGCUUUACACAUGCAAGUCGAACGGCAGCGGGGGCUUCGGCCUGCCGGCGAGUGGCGAACGGGUGAGUAAUGCAUCGGAACGUACCCAGUCGUGGGGGAUAACUACGCGAAAGCGUAGCUAAUACCGCAUACGCCCUGAGGGGGAAAGCGGGGGACCUUCGGGCCUCGCGCGAUUGGAGCGGCUGAUGUCGGAUUAGCUAGUUGGUGGGGUAAAGGCCUACCAAGGCGACGAUCCGUAGCUGGUCUGAGAGGACGACCAGCCACACUGGAACUGAGACACGGUCCAGACUCCUACGGGAGGCAGCAGUGGGGAAUUUUGGACAAUGGGGGCAACCCUGAUCCAGCCAUUCCGCGUGAGUGAAGAAGGCCUUCGGGUUGUAAAGCUCUUUCGGCAGGAACGAAACGGUGGAGGCUAAUACCUUUCAUCAAUGACGGUACCUGAAGAAGAAGCACCGGCUAACUACGU
This 482-nucleotide ribosomal RNA is filed under the name uncultured bacterium. RNAcentral's name for it is "bacterial SSU rRNA". It matches the Rfam family "Bacterial small subunit ribosomal RNA", at positions 30 to 506 of the family's 1533-position model. The record is from RNAcentral.